AGAAAAUGCACCCUUUUAAUCAGCUAAAUUUGAUUUACAGGAAGAGGCAAAAUAAAUAUGGGGAAUGAUAACAGAAACAUGAAUCAAGAAACAUCUGAAAUGAAGUCGAGAAUACCAAGAGGCCAUAAAAUGGAGCCAGAAGACCACUGGGAAGGAUUCAAUGACUUUUGUAAAGAAUGAAAAGGAUGCUAAGAAGCUGCUGUUAGAACUUUAAAAGAUGCAAUGCAAAAUGUUACUGAAGUCAUUCAAGAAUGCUUCAGAAGAAAAUUAUUCCAAGGCCAAGCAAAUUAUUAUGAUUACAAUGCAAGUAAAGGAUGGUGUGAAGUAAUUAUUAUCAAUGACAAAAAAUGAAAAGAAACCAGACUUUUGACAAAG
Prionailurus viverrinus (fishing cat) is the source of this 375-nucleotide long non-coding RNA. RefSeq lists it as uncharacterized. The transcript is spliced from 3 exons. Lineage: Eukaryota; Metazoa; Chordata; Mammalia; Carnivora; Felidae. The record is from RefSeq and is a predicted model, not a curated record.